CGAUUCAGCAGCCGCGGUAAUACAGAGGGGGCAAGCGUUGUUCGGAAUUACUGGGCGUAAAGGGCGCGUAGGCGGCCGCCUAAGUCAGACGUGAAAUCCCUCGGCUCAACCGGGGAACUGCGUCUGAUACUGGGUGGCUUGAAUUCGGGAGAGGGAUGCGGAAUUCCAGGUGUAGCGGUGAAAUGCGUAGAUAUCUGGAGGAACACCGGUGGCGAAGGCGGCAUCCUGGACCGAGAUUGACGCUGAGGCGCGAAAGCCAGGGGAGCAAACGGGAUUAGAUACCCCGGUAGUCCUGGCCCUAAACGAUGAGUGCUUGGUGUGGCGGGUAUCGAUCCCUGCCGUGCCGAAGCUAACGCAUUAAGUUGACCGCUGGGGAGUACGGCCGCA
RNAcentral lists this ribosomal RNA (387 nucleotides) under uncultured Acidobacteriota bacterium. RNAcentral's name for it is "bacterial SSU rRNA". It matches the Rfam family "Bacterial small subunit ribosomal RNA", at positions 504 to 890 of the family's 1533-position model. Lineage: Bacteria; Pseudomonadati; Acidobacteriota. The record is from RNAcentral.